This 440-nucleotide ribosomal RNA is filed under the name uncultured bacterium. RNAcentral describes it as "partial 16S ribosomal RNA". It matches the Rfam family "Bacterial small subunit ribosomal RNA", at positions 338 to 795 of the family's 1533-position model. The record is from RNAcentral.
CCUACGGGAGGCAGCAGUGGGGGAUAUUGCACAAUGGGGGAAACCCUGAUGCAGCGACGCCGCGUGUGGGAAGACGGUCCUCUGGAUUGUAAACCACUGUCCCCAGGGACGAAAAUGACGGUACCUGGGGAGGAAGCUCCGGCUAACUACGUGCCAGCAGCCGCGGUAAUACGUAGGGAGCGAGCGUUGUCCGGAAUUACUGGGUGUAAAGGGAGCGUAGGCGGGGAUGCAAGUUGCGUGUCAAAACUACCGGCUCAACUGGUAGUCGAACUCAAAACUGCAGCUCUUGAGUGAAGUAGAGGCAGGCGGAAAUCCUAGUGUAGCGGUGGAAGGCGUAGAUAUUAGGGGGAACGCGAGUGACGAAGGCGGGCGGCUGGGCUUUUACUGACGCUGAGGCUCGAAAGUGUGGGGAGCAAACAGGAUUAGAUACCCUAGUAGUC